RNAcentral lists this ribosomal RNA (467 nucleotides) under Cronobacter sakazakii. RNAcentral describes it as "bacterial SSU rRNA". It matches the Rfam family "Bacterial small subunit ribosomal RNA", at positions 9 to 472 of the family's 1533-position model. The record is from RNAcentral. Lineage: Bacteria; Pseudomonadati; Pseudomonadota; Gammaproteobacteria; Enterobacterales; Enterobacteriaceae.
GAGUUUGAUCCUGGCUCAGAUUGAACGCUGGCGGCAGGCCUAACACAUGCAAGUCGAACGGUAACAGNGAGCAGCUUGCUGCUCUGCUGACGAGUGGCGGACGGGUGAGUAAUGUCUGGGAAACUGCCUGAUGGAGGGGGAUAACUACUGGAAACGGUAGCUAAUACCGCAUAACGUCUACGGACCAAAGUGGGGGACCUUCGGGCCUCAUGCCAUCAGAUGUGCCCAGAUGGGAUUAGCUAGUAGGUGGGGUAACGGCUCACCUAGGCGACGAUCCCUAGCUGGUCUGAGAGGAUGACCAGCCACACUGGAACUGAGACACGGUCCAGACUCCUACGGGAGGCAGCAGUGGGGAAUAUUGCACAAUGGGCGCAAGCCUGAUGCAGCCAUGCCGCGUGUAUGAAGAAGGCCUUCGGGUUGUAAAGUACUUUCAGCGGGGAGGAAGGCGUUGUGGUUAAUAACCACAG